ACCUAGGCUCUGUAAUAGAGGUUCCAAAAUUACAAUUUGCUUUUUUUAGCGUAAAAAUUACAUUUUGCUUUUUUUAGCGGAAAAUUACAAUGUGCUGAGACGUGUGGUCGUGCCGGAGUUGUUACUAGAAAUCAUGUGGGCUUUGCCCGCGCAGGUUCGACCACGCCAGCCCAUUUUUGUUUUCUUUCUUUACAGCCCAUUUUCAUUUUCUUUUCUUUCCUUUACGAGGAUAUGGCAACUGUAGUACUACUCAUUUUCAAAGCAUAUAUGGCCAGCCCGGAGUAGUAUAUAUGGCAAUUAAAUUCUUAACUUUUUUUCAAAGCAGACACUGCAUUUUGCAACUGCAGUACAGGGCAACAAUUAAAAGACUUGACUCCUUUAUUUUUACAAGGAGAUGCUAAGUUUUGCAGCUGUAGUACAUGGCAAUAAUUAAAUACUUGGAUUUUUACUUCUUCCCGAUGCAUUUUCUUCUACUUUUUUACAAGGAGAUGCUGCAUUUUGCAACUGUAGUACUGCAAGGCAACAAUUAAAUACUGACUCAUCUUUUACUUCUUUACAAGGCAAGCGACUGUAGUACAUGGCAACAAUUAAAUACUCAACUUUUUUACACUGUAGUACAAGGCAAUAAUUAAAUACUUGCCUUUUUUUACUUCUUUCCGGUGCAAAAAUUAAAAAUAUUGACCGUUUUACUUCUUUUCGGAAAGAAAGUUAACGUUACCACCUAAUUUACUCUCGGCAAGAGUA
Molecule: long non-coding RNA, 744 nt
Filed under: Brachypodium distachyon (stiff brome)
Lineage: Eukaryota; Viridiplantae; Streptophyta; Magnoliopsida; Poales; Poaceae
Description: long non-coding RNA (BDIS_LNC002432)
Source: RNAcentral